CAGCACCUCAAGUGGUCAGGAUGAUUAUUGGGCCUAAAGCAUCCGUAGCCGGCGCUGUAAGUUUUCGGUUAAAUCUGUACGCUCAACGUACAGGCUGCCGGGAAUACUGCAGCGCUAGGGAGUGGGAGAGGUAGACGGUACUCGGUAGGAAGGGGUAAAAUCCUUUGAUCUAUUGAUGACCACCUGUGGCGAAGGCGGUCUACCAGAACACGUCCGACGGUGAGGGAUGAAAGCUGGGGGAGCAAACCUGAUUAGAUACCCGAGUAGUCC
RNAcentral lists this ribosomal RNA (270 nucleotides) under uncultured archaeon. Its description in RNAcentral is "partial 16S ribosomal RNA". It matches the Rfam family "Archaeal small subunit ribosomal RNA", at positions 477 to 747 of the family's 1478-position model. The record is from RNAcentral.